GAUGAAGAACGUAGCGAAAUGCGAUAAGUAAUGUGAAUUGCAGAAUUCAGUGAAUCAUCGAAUCUUUGAACGCACAUUGCGCCCGCUAGUAUUCUGGCGGGCAUGCCUGUCCGAGCGUCAUUUCAACCCUCAAGCCCCCGGGCUUGGUGUUGGGGAUCGGCGAGCCUCCGCGCCCGCCGUCCCCUAAAUCUAGUCGCGGUCUCGCUGUAGCUUCCUCUGCGUAGUAGCACACCUCGCACUGGGAAACAGCGCGGCCACGCCGUUAAACCACCAACUUCUGAACGUUUGACCUCGGAUCAGGUAGGAAUACCCGCUGAACUUAAGCAUAUCAAUAAGCGGAGGA
RNAcentral lists this unclassified non-coding RNA (343 nucleotides) under soil metagenome. RNAcentral describes it as "partial contains 5.8S ribosomal RNA, internal transcribed spacer 2, and large subunit ribosomal RNA". The stretch from base 1 to 120 matches the Rfam family "5.8S ribosomal RNA", at positions 35 to 154 of the family's 154-position model. The record is from RNAcentral.